This 254-nucleotide ribosomal RNA is filed under the name uncultured bacterium. RNAcentral's name for it is "partial 16S ribosomal RNA". It matches the Rfam family "Bacterial small subunit ribosomal RNA", at positions 524 to 776 of the family's 1533-position model. The record is from RNAcentral.
GACGAACCGUGCGAACGUUAUUCGGAAUCACUGGGCUUAAAGCGCGUGUAGGCGGGGCGGGGCGUCGGCCGCUGAAAUCCCCCGGCUCAACCGGGGAAGGGGCGCCGAGACGACCGCCCUGGAGCGACGUAGGGGGGACUGGAACUUCCGGUGGAGCGGUGAAAUGCGUUGAGAUCGGAAGGAACGCCCGUGGCGAAAGCGAGUCCCUGGACGUCGGCUGACGCUGAGACGCGAAAGCCAGGGGAGCGAACGGG